Pelobates cultripes (western spadefoot toad) is the source of this 136-nucleotide non-coding RNA. The record is from the annotation of a GenBank genome assembly. Lineage: Eukaryota; Metazoa; Chordata; Amphibia; Anura; Pelobatidae.
CUCCUGUCAGCUCCCUUCUCUCUCCUCCGGUCUGGUCAGCUCCCCUGUCAGCUCCCACUGUAAGACCGCGAGACUUGCAGUGGAGCUGACAGGGGAGCUGACCAGACCGGAGGAGAGAGAAGGGAGCUGACAGGAG